CUUUGAGAACUUGAGUCUACAAUUUCUUGACAUUAAUUCAGUACACUUCAAGGGAGUUUUUCCAUCCCUUCCUUCUACGUUGAAGUGGUUCAGAUGGAAGAGUUGUCCUUUGCAUAGUCUACCGGCCAAUUUUUAUCAUGAGAGACUGGUUUAUCUUGACCUAUCAUGUAGCAUGAUUAAACAAGCUUGGAUUAGCAGGUCUCAAGAUGAAAAUAAGUUGUUCCAUGAUUUGAAAGUUCUCAUUCUUAGCUACUGCAUAUAUCUAGCUAAGUCCCCAGACUUUUCAUUGUUCCCUCACUUGGAGAGAUUAGAUCUUGGAAAUUGUAGAUCCUUGGAUAACUUAGACGACUCCAUUGGGCAGUUGAGUCAACUCAAAAUUCUUAUUCUUAAAUGUUGUGUUUCACUCAAGAGGUUGCCUGAUUCCAUUGGUGAUCUAAAAUCUCUGGUUCAACUUGACUUGUCGGGGUUAGGAAUUGAAGAACUCCCAGAUACUAUUUCCAAGUUGAUUUUUCUUGAAGAAAUGAAUAUUAGGGAUUGCAGAUCACUUGAGAAGUUUCCCGAUGGUGUUGGACUAUUAGAAAAGCUUGUGAUAUUAGAUGCUGAUAGUUGCGAUAACUUAGUGAAACUACCAACAUCAAUGAGGAGAAUGACGUGCUUGCGUAGAAUUAACUUAAAAGGAGAUGGUAUUUCAAACAUUCCUGAUGAUUUUUCAAUGCUCUUGAAUUUAAUGGAGCUUAAAAUGACUGCCACGCUUCAAUCCCUCCCAAUAGAUCUGUCACAUUGGAGAUAUUUAAAGCAAUUGAACCUUUUUAAGUGUGUGAAGUUGGAAUACCUCCCAAAGCUUCCAUUAAGUUUAGUUGAACUUUGUUGUGAAGAUUGCUUUUCAUUGGUUCAACUACCGGAUUUGUCAUUGUUGAAUAUUUUGGCAAUAUUAUGUCUUGAGGGUUGUGUGAACCUAGAGGAGAUUCGAGGCCUCGAGGGAAAACUAUCCUUGGUAGAAGUCAAUGCGCGAGGAUGCCAUAACUUGACCAUACCUCCAAGGAAAAUACUUGGCCAGGGUACCCUAUUACCCGAUAGGCCAUUGGGAAGUUUUUCCUUGACUGCCAUUGAUGGGAUCUAUAAAAAGAGGUUGAUUUUGUGCCUUGUUUUGGAGUUACCCUCUGAUUUUAGGUCACAAACCAUCUAUUGUGAUAUUUCUGCUUCUAUACGCCAAAGAGGCAAAACAACCAGCUGUGUUCAUACUCUGAGAAUUGAGGACGUUGAGUUCACUACUCAUCCACAUAUAAUCUAUCUUCAUCAUUUCAAAGGGUUUGAUUGGUUUGGGAUUCCGUUACACGGAAAAGAUGCAAUUGAGAAUUUACAUAUUCAUCAAUCCAACUUACGUCACCAGCUUUCUUUGGAUACUGAUGCGUCUAGAGCGUAUUGUAGAGUAAAAUUCUGGAAGCUUCUGUUAGAGAACAUGGAACCUUUCCAGCAAGAACGUAAUCGACAUUCGAUUGCAAUGAUGGUAGCAGAAUUCUUCAUUUGGAAAUUUGAGAACAGGGAAUCUGAGCAGGAAAAUCAUAAUCGACAUUCGAGUGACAAAUUGAUGGCAGCAGAUUUCUCCAAUUGGUCAUUUGAGAACAGGGAAUAUGAACACCAAAUGCUUAAUCAACAUUCAAGUGCCAUGAGGGUAGCAGAUUUCUUCGAUUGCCCAUAUGUUGGGGUUGGAGGAUCUAGGGCUACUGCGAGAUUAGUUCUUGAGAAUGAGGAGGAUGAGGAGGAUGAGGCAGCUUGUCCUUCUCCGGGUCAAGAGACAGAGACAGAGACAGAGACAGGGUUGAGCUCUAAUGGGAGUAUUCUCAUUGACAGUGACGAUGACGUGCUGUUGACUGCUAUUGCGAGAAUUGUUCUUGAAAACGAGGAAGAAGAGGGAGUCUCGAGGGCUAUGGAGAGACUUUUUCUUCGCAAGGAUGAUGAUGCAUCUGUUGUCUGUUGAUUCCGGAGCCAACACCAAUUCAAGCAGUUACAUUCUAAUAUAUAAUUAGGCCUUGUCCGCGCCACCCCCGCCCUGUUCUUUUGUGAGUCUCCAUCUCUGGUCCUUAAUAGCUGGGCUCAGAGAAACAAGAGAGGCUCGGGGGAUUGCUUCAUCGAGGACAAUCAGCUAUUGGGGUAUUGCUCCCCAGAUUGGUUUUGCAGGUAAUUGUUUCAUAAAUCUCUAGGGUUUCCAAUCUAUUAAUACUUAUCUGUCUCUCUCUCCUUCUUCUUCACAAGAAACAAGAGAGGCUCGGAGGAUUGCUUCAUCGAGGAGGAUGGUACGUGCAUGGUUUUACCUCUCUUCACUAUCUUGAGAAAAACAAGGAUAAUAUGAAGGAGAGAAAAUAGGGAUUUAAUUGGCUUCAUUGGGAGGUAGCCGAGCCUCUAUUCUCAAUAGAGAAUUUGUAGGG
Molecule: RNA transcript, 2426 nt
Organism: Macadamia integrifolia
Lineage: Eukaryota; Viridiplantae; Streptophyta; Magnoliopsida; Proteales; Proteaceae
Exons: 4
Source: RefSeq, a predicted model, not a curated record